UACAGAGGUCUCGAGCGUUAGGCGGAAUCACUGGGCUUAAAGCGUGUGUAGGCGGAUCGUUAAGUACCUUGUGAAAUCCCACGGCUUAACCGUGGAACUGCUUGGUAUACUGGCGGUCUUGAGCCAGCUAGGGGCUACCGGAACAAAUGGUGGAGCGGUGAAAUGCGUAGAUAUCAUUUGGAACGCCAAUGGUGAAAACAGGUAGCUGGGGCUGUGCUGACGGCUGGAGACACGAAAGCCAGGGGAGCAAACGGG
This 255-nucleotide ribosomal RNA is filed under the name uncultured bacterium. Its description in RNAcentral is "partial 16S ribosomal RNA". It matches the Rfam family "Bacterial small subunit ribosomal RNA", at positions 524 to 776 of the family's 1533-position model. The record is from RNAcentral.